RNAcentral lists this ribosomal RNA (412 nucleotides) under uncultured Glomeromycotina. Its description in RNAcentral is "SSU rRNA". It matches the Rfam family "Eukaryotic small subunit ribosomal RNA", at positions 671 to 1081 of the family's 1831-position model. Lineage: Eukaryota; Fungi; Glomeromycota. The record is from RNAcentral.
AUGGUAUGCACUGGCUCGCUGACUCCUCCUUCUUGUAGAACCGUAAUGCCAUUAAUUUGGUGUUGCGGGGAAACAGGACUGUUACUUUGAAAAAAUUAGAGUGUUUAAAGCAGGCCAACGCCUGAAUACAUUAGCAUGGAAUAAUGAAAUAGGACGUUCGAACCUAUUUUGUUGGUUUCUAGGAUUGACGUAAUGAUUAAUAGGGAUAGUUGGGGGCAUUAGUAUUCAAUUGUCAGAGGUGAAAUUCUUGGAUUUAUUGAAGACUGACUACUGCGAAAGCAUUUGCCAAGGAUGUUUUCAUUAAUCAAGAACGAAAGUUAGGGGAUCGAAGACGAUCAGAUACCGUCGUAGUCUUAACCAUAAACUAUGCCGACUAGGGAUCGGAUGAUGUUAAUUUUUUAAUGACUCAUUC